Non-coding RNA from Oryctolagus cuniculus (rabbit), 278 nucleotides. Lineage: Eukaryota; Metazoa; Chordata; Mammalia; Lagomorpha; Leporidae. The record is from RefSeq and is a predicted model, not a curated record.
GCCGCAGGCAGGUCUCGAGGGGGCAGUCUAAGAAGAGCUGGCAAAAGCCCAGGGAGUCUGCGAACAGGUGAAAACCAGAAUCACCGGCUAGCAGGUGAAAACCGCGAGUCACCGCGCGCAGGUGAAAACCGCGAGUCACCGCGCGCAGGUGAAAACCAGAAUCACCGCGCGCAGGUGAAAACCACGAGUCACCGCGUGCAGGUGAAAACCAGAAUCACCGCGCGCAGGUGAAAACCACGAGUCACCGCGUGCAGGUGAAAACCAGAAUCACCGCGCGC